AUUGAACGCUGGCGGCAUGCUUUACACAUGCAAGUCGAGCGGUAACAGGCCUUCGGGUGCUGACGAGUGGCGAACGGGUGAGUAAUGCAUCGGAACGUACCCAGAGGUGGGGGAUAACGCAGCGAAAGCUGUGCUAAUACCGCAUGUGAUCUGAGGAUGAAAGCGGGGGACCGAGCAGCAAUGUUUGGCCUCGCGCCUUUGGAGCGGCCGAUGUCGGAUUAGCUAGUUGGUGGGGUAAAGGCCUACCAAGGCGACGAUCCGUAGCUGGUCUGAGAGGACAACCAGCCACACUGGGACUGAGACACGGCCCAGACUCCUACGGGAGGCAGCAGUGGGGAAUUUUGGACAAUGGGCGCAAGCCUGAUCCAGCAAUGCCGCGUGCGGGAAGAAGGCCUUCGGGUUGUAAACCGCUUUUGGCAGGAACGAAACGGUGUCCGCUAAUACCGGGCGCUAAUGACGGUACCUGCAGAAUAAGCACCGGCUAACUACGUG
RNAcentral lists this ribosomal RNA (492 nucleotides) under uncultured bacterium. Its description in RNAcentral is "partial 16S ribosomal RNA". It matches the Rfam family "Bacterial small subunit ribosomal RNA", at positions 29 to 507 of the family's 1533-position model. The record is from RNAcentral.